GUAGGUGGCAAGCGUUGUCCGGAAUUAUUGGGCGUAAAGCGCGCGCAGGCGGGUUCUUUAAAGGUCUGAUGUGAAAAGCCCACGGGCUCAACCGUGGAGGGUCAUUGGAAACUGGAGAACUUGAGUACAGAAGAGGAAAGCGGAAUUCCACGUGUAGCGGUGAAAAUGCGUAGAGAUGUGGAGGAACACCAGUGGCGAAGGCGGCUUUCUGGUCUGUAACUGACGCUGAGGCGCGAAAGCGUGGGGAGCAAACAGGAUUAGAUACCCUGGAAGUCCACGCCGUAAACGAUGAGUGCUAAGUGUUAGGGGGUUUCCGCCCCUUAGUGCUGCAGCUAACGCAUUAAGCACUCCGCCUGGGGGAGUACGGCCGCAAAGGCUG
This 379-nucleotide ribosomal RNA is filed under the name uncultured organism. Its description in RNAcentral is "partial 16S ribosomal RNA". It matches the Rfam family "Bacterial small subunit ribosomal RNA", at positions 527 to 896 of the family's 1533-position model. The record is from RNAcentral.